Portunus trituberculatus (swimming crab) is the source of this 2224-nucleotide RNA transcript. It is a transcript of the gene named MTRF1L release factor glutamine methyltransferase-like, with no coding region annotated. The transcript has 11 exons. The record is from RefSeq and is a predicted model, not a curated record. NCBI's taxonomy places the organism in Eukaryota, Metazoa, Arthropoda, Malacostraca, Decapoda, Portunidae.
CAGUCCCACCCUGCCACCUACGACUGAGUACUGACCACUCCCACUCCCAGUUUGUUAACUUUGUAUUUAACUGUGCGGGCAGUGGGGCCCCGCGCUGGCAGGACGUGAAGCACUGAGAGGGAAGACAAAAUAGUGAGAGAGUACAAGAAGAAUGGCGUGUUGGUAGCCACUCAGUAAGCAAAGGUUAACUAUUCAUACACGGUUGAAGGCACUUAACUAAAGCGGUGUGUGAGUAUGUGAGGUGGUAGCAAGUCCACCCGCCCCGGAAGUGUCCAUCAGGAAACGUCAAUAAGCCAAGGAGGAUGUUAGUUCCUCGGUCAUUUUUCAUAAGUUAUGAAACUGGAGAGUGAAGACGAGUCACUGACUGACUGGCGGCGGCCGGCGGAGAGAGGACACAACACAAGGAGAGGAGAUUGUUUACAUUUCAGCCUCCAUGUGUUUUUAGGGAUGAGGAUGUUAGUAGGAUUAGGAGCAGUGAGGAGGGUGGCUGGCAGAUGUCACUAUUCCAUACUCACCAGUCAUCUGAGGCACCAGAGUUCCACACACCUUAGUCUCACACCUCUGCCUCUGCAUCAUGAACCCCGCCAUAGACUUCUCUGCACAGCUCGCCUUCUACUCUCCACCCAGGCUGCAUCCAGGUGGUUGCUGCCCAGGGAACCAGUCAGGUGCUUUCACACAGAUAGAGGGAAGUGUGACCAGGUGACCUCUAGAAUAGAAGGGCAGGGCACCACUGCCACCACCACCACUAGCUAUGUUUCCUGCGUGGUGAGGGAGGUGGUGGAUCACUGGACUCAGAAGCUUGCCAUAGAAGAGGUGCCGGAGGGGGACCUUGCUGCCCAGCAUAUCAUGGCACAUGUCCUUGGGGUCCGCCGGAGUGAGCUACAGAGGCCAGCCAUAGCAGAGACAGAGCUCAGCGAGGAACAGAUGGAGGAGGUGGACCGCCUCAUGACGUGCCGCAUUGCAAGGAUGCCACUGCAGUACAUAUUGGGUGAGUGGGACUUCCACAGCCUCACCCUCAAGAUGGCGCCGCCUGUGUUCAUCCCGCGGCCAGAGACAGAGGGGUUAGUGGAGCUGGCCAUUGGUGUCCUGAGGGAGAUGGAGUCACCGCAAGUGUUAGAGAUUGGCUGUGGGUCAGGAGCCAUCAGUUUGGCACUGCUCAAUGCCCUCCCACAGGUGGAGUGUGUGGCAGUGGACCAGAGCAGACAUGCUGUACGGUUGACGGAGAGCAAUGCAGUGCAGCUCGGUCUGAAGGAGAGACUGACAGUCGUGCUGGGGAAGGUGAACAAGGACACUCGGCCACCUCUGCCUCACUCAAGCUAUGACCUUGUGGUGUCUAACCCUCCAUAUAUCUUCAGGAAAGACCUCUUGGACCUCCAGCCAGAAAUCAUGAUGUAUGAGGACUUGAGAGCAUUGGAUGGGGGCAAGGAUGGCCUGGAGAUGAUCAAGGCAUUAGUCCUGCACGCUCAGCACCUGCUGCUGCCGGGCCGGACACUGCUGAUGGAGGUGGACCCCUGCCAUCCUUACCUGCUGCCUGCAUGGCUUGAGAAACAAAAUCUUCACCUCAAGCUGCAGAAAGUCCAUCAAGACUUCAACAACAAGGAUAGGAUCAUGGAAUUUAUUAAGGAAAUAUAGAGCUGCUUUUAGUGUCUUUGAUUUACCAAUGAGACAAGAAUGAGGUUCUGCAGCAAUAGAGUUAAGUGAAAUGUUAACCAUGGUGAGAGGCUGCCCUUCACAAGACAACUCACGUGCGAGGGAUGGUGUCUCCAGCCAGGUCUUCCAUCCCAUCAGCUGUAAUCACGAUGUCGUCCUCAAUCCUUACUCCCCCAAAGCCACGGAAACGAGCGAUGGCUUCAGGUACCAGGAACUGUGCCUGCUCAGGGUUGGCUAGUGCCUGGUCCAGCAGCUGUGGGAAGUUGUCGCAGAGUUACUGGACUAUAAGAGUCCUGGCAGUGCGCAGAGAACGGAAGCCAGCAGGUGUGGGGCGAGGUGGAUACUGCUCCAGGUAGCCACCCACAUCGUGCACAUCCAACCCCAUCAGGUGACCCAGGCCAUGUGGCAUGAACACGGAGCCAAGAUUGACCUGCACAGAAGGAAUAUCAGUCAUUAUAAGUUACAUAUCACAUAAAUGGAUGGACAUCAAGAUAUUCUGAAGACACUUUUUUUUAUCUGAAAAAUUAAAUGAAGACUUUGUACAUAACACCUAAAUUAAAUCAUAUAAGUAACA